Molecule: ribosomal RNA, 303 nt
Filed under: uncultured bacterium
Lineage: Bacteria
Description: partial 16S ribosomal RNA
Rfam family: Bacterial small subunit ribosomal RNA
Source: RNAcentral
AGCAGUCGCCACGGUAAUACGAAGGGUGCAAGCGUUAAUCGGAAUUACUGGGCGUAAAGCGUGCGUAGGCGGUUUGUUAAGUCUGCUGUGAAAUCCCCGGGCUCAACCUGGGAAUGGCAGUGGAUACUGGCAAGCUAGAGUGUGUCAGAGGAUGGUGGAAUUCCCGGUGUAGCGGUGAAAUGCGUAGAGAUCGGGAGGAACAUCAGUGGCGAAGGCGGCCAUCUGGGACAACACUGACGCUGAGGCACGAAAGCGUGGGGAGCAAACAGGAUUAGAUACCCCCGUAGUCCCUGUCUCUUAUAC